CUACGGGGGGCACCAGUGAGGAAUAUUGCACAAUGGGGGGAACCCCGAUGCAGCAACGCCGCGUGGAGGAUGACGCAUUUCGGUGUGUAAACUCCUUUUAUAUGUCAAGAAAAUGACGGUAGCAUAUGAAUAAGCACCGGCUAACUCCGUGCCAGCAGCCGCGGUAAUACGGAGGGUGCAAGCGUUACUCGGAAUCACUGGGCGUAAAGGACGCGUAGGCGGGUUGGAAAGUCAGGUGUGAAAUCCUACAGCUUAACUGUAGAACUGCACUUGAAACUUCUAAUCUAGAGUAUGGGAGGGGGAGAUGGAAUUAGUGGUGUAGGGGUAAAAUCCGUAGAUAUCACUAGGAGUACCUAAAGCGAAGGCGAUCUCCUGGAACAUUACUGACGCUAAGGCGUGAAAGCGUGGGGAGCAAACAGGAUUAGAUACCCGGGUAGUC
RNAcentral lists this ribosomal RNA (439 nucleotides) under uncultured bacterium. RNAcentral's name for it is "partial 16S ribosomal RNA". It matches the Rfam family "Bacterial small subunit ribosomal RNA", at positions 339 to 795 of the family's 1533-position model. The record is from RNAcentral.